RNAcentral lists this ribosomal RNA (478 nucleotides) under uncultured bacterium. RNAcentral's name for it is "partial 16S ribosomal RNA". It matches the Rfam family "Bacterial small subunit ribosomal RNA", at positions 28 to 507 of the family's 1533-position model. The record is from RNAcentral.
GAUGAACGCUGGCGGCGUGCUUAACACAUGCGAGUCGAACGGGAAACCUUUUAAUGCAGCUUCGGCAGAUUUAGCUGGUUUCUAGUGGCGGACGGGUGAGUAACGCGUGGGUAACCUGCCUUAUACAGGGGGAUAACAGUCAGAAAUGACUGCUAAUACCGCAUAAGCGCACAGGACCGCAUGGUCCGGUGUGAAAAACUCCGGUGGUAUAAGAUGGACCCGCGUUGGAUUAGCUUGUUGGUGGGGUAACGGCUCACCAAGGCGACGAUCCAUAGCCGGCCUGAGAGGGUGAACGGCCACAUUGGGACUGAGACACGGCCCAGACUCCUACGGGAGGCAGCAGUGGGGAAUAUUGCACAAUGGGGGAAACCCUGAUGCAGCGACGCCGCGUGAAGGAAGAAGUAUCUCGGUAUGUAAACUUCUAUCAGCAGGGAAGAUAGUGACGGUACCUGACUAAGAAGCCCCGGCUAACUACGUG